UCGAUUGUCCAUAGUGGUAGGAGAACUACAACCAGUCCUUAGAGUUUAACAAACGGCAGCAAGGCAAGUUCACACUUUUAUCAUACUUUUCUAUACCCUGUUUUUUAUUAUGCAAUAUUUUCACUCCUAUCAAUUCGCAUGAGUAGGAUUGGGAAUAUUAUGGUAUUGCUAUGUAGUUCAUGAGUUAGGAACCUCUGACCCUUGAUCACCCCUGGAAUAUUCGUUAUUCUUAUAUAUUUCUUAGACAUGCUCGUUGAUGGUGGUUGGUAUGCGGGAUUCAUGUAAAUUGAGAGAGAAAUAAUAAUUUUGGGUUAACCUUAAGGUGGUGACAUUUACAAAACUCUAGGUGGAAUGGUUCGGGCACGUGGAGAAUGCAGUGCUUGCCCUAGAGGAUCCCGGAGGACUAGUGUGAUCACCCUAUGGAAUGACACCUGGGCUGAAACUUCCGUGUGUGGCAAGAAGCCAUUAUGGGCUCUGGCAUAGUUUAGUAAGUCUGUGUGAGCCUUUCCGGAUAGGCUAGCAGUUGUAGUGCAACUUAGAUGCACCAGCCUAUCCAAGGUUAAGGUGAACACAUUCAGAAAUACUAUGUCACGAUCUUCGGAUCAUGAGGUGGUCGAGUCUUGUGGGGAAAAGUGUGCAAACGUCUUCAGAGUGUAUAAACUAAUCAUGAUUAGCCGUCUCCGUGGUUACAGACAAUUUUGCGUAUCUUGAAGUGCAUUAUUGGUUGAUCUCAUCACUCUAUUUAAUUAAUUAAUUGCGUAAUUAAUAAAUUGGGAAUUCUGGGAGUUGAGUUGGAGGAACCUUCUCAAUAUUGGUAUAAACUUGGUAGUAAAUAAAAAAAUAUUCCUUUCUUGUAGAAAAAAAUUAGCUUUGUGCAAAAAUUAAACUUAGAGCCUCCAUGAGCAAAAUUUUCUUAUAGAGAUAGUAAGUUUUAUCAUUGCUCUAUUGUAUGACAUUGCGAGCAUAUUCCACGUGCUGACCUACAUGGCUGCAACGUCUCAUUAUGUAGAGUUUUGUGACAAGGAUUAAGGUGCGAUAGGUCAUUGUUCUGCACUCAGUUUUGCUAUUGGAGUUGAUGGACACAUUUAUCUUCAAAGAUUCCACAAUUAUUUUAAUUAGA
RNAcentral lists this long non-coding RNA (1120 nucleotides) under Hordeum vulgare. RNAcentral's name for it is "long non-coding RNA (HVUL_LNC012118)". The record is from RNAcentral. Lineage: Eukaryota; Viridiplantae; Streptophyta; Magnoliopsida; Poales; Poaceae.